UGCAAGUCGAGCGGGCGUAGCAAUACGUCAGCGGCAGACGGGUGAGUAACGCGUGGGAACGUACCUUUUGGUUCGGAACAACACAGGGAAACUUGUGCUAAUACCGGAUAAGCCCUUACGGGGAAAGAUUUAUCGCCGAAAGAUCGGCCCGCGUCUGAUUAGCUAGUUGGUAGGGUAAUGGCCUACCAAGGCGACGAUCAGUAGCUGGUCUGAGAGGAUGAUCAGCCACAUUGGGACUGAGACACGGCCCAAACUCCUACGGGAGGCAGCAGUGGGGAAUAUUGGACAAUGGGGGCAACCCUGAUCCAGCCAUGCCGCGUGAGUGAUGAAGGCCCUAGGGUUGUAAAGCUCUUUUGUGCGGGAAGAUAAUGACGGUACCGCAAGAAUAAGCCCCGGCUAACUUCGUGCCAGCAGCCGCGGUAAUACGAAGGGGGCUAGCGUUGCUCGGAAUCACUGGGCGUAAAGGGUGCGUAGGCGGGUUUUUAAGUCAGGGGUGAAAUCCUGGAGCUCAACUCCAGAACUGCCUUUGAUACUGAAGAUCUUGAGUCCGGGAGAGGUGAGUGGAACUGCGAGUGUAGAGGUGAAAUUC
This 589-nucleotide ribosomal RNA is filed under the name uncultured Bradyrhizobium sp. RNAcentral's name for it is "bacterial SSU rRNA". It matches the Rfam family "Bacterial small subunit ribosomal RNA", at positions 56 to 689 of the family's 1533-position model. The record is from RNAcentral. Lineage: Bacteria; Pseudomonadati; Pseudomonadota; Alphaproteobacteria; Hyphomicrobiales; Nitrobacteraceae.